This 293-nucleotide ribosomal RNA is filed under the name uncultured bacterium. RNAcentral describes it as "partial 16S ribosomal RNA". It matches the Rfam family "Bacterial small subunit ribosomal RNA", at positions 775 to 1067 of the family's 1533-position model. The record is from RNAcentral.
GGAUUAGAUACCCUGGUAGUCCAUGCUGUAAACGAUGAGAACUUGCUGUUGGGGGUAUAAAAACUCUUAGUAGCGUAGCUAACGCGUUAAGUUCUCCGCCUGGGGAGUACGGCCGCAAGGCUAAAACUCAAAGGAAUUGACGGGGGCCCGCACAAGCGGUGGAGCAUGUGGUUUAAUUCGAUGCAACGCGAAGAACCUUACCUACCCUUGAAUCCACGGAAGCUUACAGAGAUGUGAGUGUGCCUUCGGGAACCGUGAGACAGGUGCUGCAUGGCUGUCGUCAGCUCGUGCCG